Long non-coding RNA from Anastrepha obliqua, 910 nucleotides. RefSeq lists it as uncharacterized. NCBI's taxonomy places the organism in Eukaryota, Metazoa, Arthropoda, Insecta, Diptera, Tephritidae. The transcript is spliced from 4 exons. The record is from RefSeq and is a predicted model, not a curated record.
GGAUAGCAAACGUACCACUGUCAACGCGCAAAGCUCGCAAAAGCCAGAUCGGUCGUUUUACUAAAACAGAACUGCUUUUAGUAAUGUGUCUCUGCUCUCAGGUGUGAUGAUUUCGGCUUUUGUAAAAAUAUCAGCUGUAAUUACAAUCUCAACUCUGGUCACAGUGACGUUUGUGACUUUGUAAAAAUUGGCAGCCUUAUUGUCAGAAUUUUACUCUAAAUCGAAAUUGCAAAUCGAAACUGCUUGGAAAUGGUAUUUUAGGUAAAAAAGCAGAGACCCGUUUGAAGGAAGAUGUGAGCCUACGACCUAUGUAUAAGCAUGAAAAGGUCGAGUUUGGAGCUAAUUCAAAGGCUUUUAGUACGAGGGUUGGUUGAAAAGUUCCUUUGGGAUCAAACCGCCGCACUGAUCUGAAUAUAGAAAAUGAAUAUUAAAAAUAGAAGAUAAAAAGAAUCUUACAAAUCCAUUUAGGGAUAUAAUAAUGGAGUACGAAAUAGACUGAAUAGACGGAGAAAAGUGCCUCAGAGAACAUAUAAAUUUAAUCUAAAAUCAGCUUUACCAGUACCGAUGAAUCAGAAACGCAAUUGAAAAGAUCACUCGAAUUGAAUAAGAAAUGGAUUUUCUAAAAAAAUAGUCUUCGCUGAAUUAUCCUCCCAGCAACCGAAUGUAUAAAGUAUUAACCCGAAAUUAUACUGGAAUUAGUUUUAUUUAUGUUCUUAAAGUUAAUACCUGAAAUUUUAUAAGUUUUUUUAAAGAAUCCGUUUUUUAGUACUUGUUUACAGUGAAGGUUUGAACCACUUUUUGAGUUUUUUAUCAGAUACUGUACCUGAAAGAGGUCUCAUUCAAUUACAAAAAAAUGAGUUCUGUAUACGCUUCGUAAUAUGCAAUAGAAUAUUUUAAGACGGUGGAAUGA